Molecule: ribosomal RNA, 992 nt
Filed under: Lactiplantibacillus plantarum
Lineage: Bacteria; Bacillati; Bacillota; Bacilli; Lactobacillales; Lactobacillaceae
Description: bacterial SSU rRNA
Rfam family: Bacterial small subunit ribosomal RNA
Source: RNAcentral
GAACUCUGGUAUUGAUUGGUGCUUGCAUCAUGAUUUACAUUUGAGUGAGUGGCGAACUGGUGAGUAACACGUGGGAAACCUGCCCAGAAGCGGGGGAUAACACCUGGAAACAGAUGCUAAUACCGCAUAACAACUUGGACCGCAUGGUCCGAGNUUGAAAGAUGGCUUCGGCUAUCACUUNUGGAUGGUCCCGCGGCGUAUUAGCUAGAUGGUGAGGUAACGGCUCACCAUGGCAAUGAUACGUAGCCGACCUGAGAGGGUAAUCGGCCACAUUGGGACUGAGACACGGCCCAAACUCCUACGGGAGGCAGCAGUAGGGAAUCUUCCACAAUGGACGAAAGUCUGAUGGAGCAACGCCGCGUGAGUGAAGAAGGGUUUCGGCUCGUAAAACUCUGUUGUUAAAGAAGAACAUAUCUGAGAGUAACUGUUCAGGUAUUGACGGUAUUUAACCAGAAAGCCACGGCUAACUACGUGCCAGCAGCCGCGGUAAUACGUAGGUGGCAAGCGUUGUCCGGAUUUAUUGGGCGUAAAGCGAGCGCAGGCGGUUUUUUAAGUCUGAUGUGAAAGCCUUCGGCUCAACCGAAGAAGUGCAUCGGAAACUGGGAAACUUGAGUGCAGAAGAGGACAGUGGAACUCCAUGUGUAGCGGUGAAAUGCGUAGAUAUAUGGAAGAACACCAGUGGCGAAGGCGGCUGUCUGGUCUGUAACUGACGCUGAGGCUCGAAAGUAUGGGUAGCAAACAGGAUUAGAUACCCUGGUAGUCCAUACCGUAAACGAUGAAUGCUAAGUGUUGGAGGGUUUCCGCCCUUCAGUGCUGCAGCUAACGCAUUAAGCAUUCCGCCUGGGGAGUACGGCCGCAAGGCUGAAACUCAAAGGAAUUGACGGGGGCCCGCACAAGCGGUGGAGCAUGUGGUUUAAUUCGAAGCUACGCGAAGAACCUUACCAGGUCUUGACAUACUAUGCAAAUCUAAGAGAUUAGACGUUCCCUUUCGG